UAGCCGUCAUCCUAUAGGUUUCACUCACAUAGAAGCAGCAGGAAUUUCGGGAAGUCCGGUGAAAAACCGGCGCGAACCCGUCGCUGUCAACGAGGACGAAAGCCGUUGCGUUAUGCCAUUGGCCAUCCGGCUGAGAAGGCGCGGCAAGUAGAUUGAUCCGUGAGCCAGAACAUCGAAUCCUGCCUGCUUUCCGCA
This 195-nucleotide non-coding RNA is filed under the name Candidatus Omnitrophota bacterium. Lineage: Bacteria; Pseudomonadati; Candidatus Omnitrophota. The record is from RNAcentral.